CCUACGGGUAGCAGCAGUGAGGAAUAUUGGUCAAUGGACGAGAGUCUGAACCAGCCAAGUAGCGUGAAGGAUGACUGCCCUAUGGGUUGUAAACUUCUUUUAUAUGGGAAUAAAAUGUUCCACGUGUGGGAUUUUGUAUGUACCAUAUGAAUAAGGAUCGGCUAACUCCGUGCCAGCAGCCGCGGUAAUACGGAGGAUCCGAGCGUUAUCCGGAUUUAUUGGGUUUAAAGGGAGCGUAGGUGGAUUGUUAAGUCAGUUGUGAAAGUUUGCGGCUCAACCGUAAAAUUGCAGUUGAAACUGGCAGUCUUGAGUACAGUAGAGGUGGGCGGAAUGCGUGGUGUAGCGGUGAAAUGCUUAGAUAUCACGAAGAACUCCGAUUGCGAAGGCAGUUCACUGGACUGCAACUGACACUGAGGCUCGAAAGUGUGGGUAUCAAACAGGAUUAGAUACCCUAGUAGUC
This 460-nucleotide ribosomal RNA is filed under the name uncultured bacterium. RNAcentral describes it as "partial 16S ribosomal RNA". It matches the Rfam family "Bacterial small subunit ribosomal RNA", at positions 338 to 795 of the family's 1533-position model. The record is from RNAcentral.